Molecule: ribosomal RNA, 583 nt
Filed under: Sarcocystis sp.
Lineage: Eukaryota; Apicomplexa; Conoidasida; Eucoccidiorida; Sarcocystidae
Description: SSU rRNA
Rfam family: Eukaryotic small subunit ribosomal RNA
Source: RNAcentral
GUACUGUAUUGGACUACCGUGGCAGUGACGGGUAACGGGGAAUUAGGGUUCGAUUCCGGAGAGGGAGCCUGAGAAACGGCUACCACAUCUAAGGAAGGCAGCAGGCGCGCAAAUUACCCAAUCCUGACUCAGGGAGGUAGUGACAAGAAAUAACAACGCUGGAAAUUUCAUUUCUAGUGAUUGGAAUGAUGGGAAUCCAAACCCCUUUCAGAGUAACAAUUGGAGGGCAAGUCUGGUGCCAGCAGCCGCGGUAAUUCCAGCUCCAAUAGCGUAUAUUAAAGUUGUUGCAGUUAAAAAGCUCGUAGUUGGAUUUCUGCUGGGAGCAGCCGGUCCGCCCUUCAUUGGGUGUGCACUUGGUGAAUUCUGGCAUCCUCCUGGUGGUAUAGUGUGUGUGUCGUUUUAUUGCGUCCAUGCGCUUUAUUGUCAGGACUGUUACUUUGAGAAAAUUAGAGUGUUUCAAGCAGGCUUAUUGCCUUGAAUACUGCAGCAUGGAAUAACAAGAUAGGAUUUCGGUUCUAUUUUGUUGGUUUCUAGGACUGAAGUAAUGAUUAAUAGGGACAGUUGGGGGCAUUCGUAUUUAACU